RNAcentral lists this ribosomal RNA (468 nucleotides) under uncultured bacterium. RNAcentral describes it as "partial 16S ribosomal RNA". It matches the Rfam family "Bacterial small subunit ribosomal RNA", at positions 28 to 523 of the family's 1533-position model. The record is from RNAcentral.
GAUGAACGCUGGCGGCGUGCCUAACACAUGCAAGUCGAGCGAUUCUCUUCGGAGAAGAGCGGCGGACGGGUGAGUAACGCGUGGGUAACCUGCCCUGUACACACGGAUAACAUACCGAAAGGUAUGCUAAUACGAGAUAACAUACUUUUAUCGCAUGGUAGAAGUAUCAAAUCUCCGGCGGUACAGGAUGGACCCGCGUCUGAUUAGCUAGUUGGUAAGGUAACGGCUUACCAAGGCGACGAUCAGUAGCCGACCUGAGAGGGUGAUCGGCCACAUUGGAACUGAGACACGUUCCAAACUCCUACGGGAGGCAGCAGUGGGGAAUAUUGCACAAUGGGCGAAAGCCUGAUGCAGCAACGCCGCGUGAGUGAUGAAGGCCUUCGGGUCGUAAAGCUCUGUCCUCAAGGAAGAUAAUGACGGUACUUGAGGAGGAAGCCCCGGCUAACUACGUGCCAGCCGCCGCAGUAA